RNAcentral lists this ribosomal RNA (1464 nucleotides) under uncultured organism. RNAcentral describes it as "16S ribosomal RNA". It matches the Rfam family "Bacterial small subunit ribosomal RNA". The record is from RNAcentral.
AACGCUGGCGGCGUGCCUAAUACAUGCAAGUCGAACGCUUCUUUUUCCACCGGAGCUUGCUCCACCGGAAAAAGAGGAGUGGCGAACGGGUGAGUAACACGUGGGUAACCUGCCCAUCAGAAGGGGAUAACACUUGGAAACAGGUGCUAAUACCGUAUAACAAUCGAAACCGCAUGGUUUUGAUUUGAAAGGCGCUUUCGGGUGUCGCUGAUGGAUGGACCCGCGGUGCAUUAGCUAGUUGGUGAGGUAACGGCUCACCAAGGCCACGAUGCAUAGCCGACCUGAGAGGGUGAUCGGCCACAUUGGGACUGAGACACGGCCCAAACUCCUACGGGAGGCAGCAGUAGGGAAUCUUCGGCAAUGGACGAAAGUCUGACCGAGCAACGCCGCGUGAGUGAAGAAGGUUUUCGGAUCGUAAAACUCUGUUGUUAGAGAAGAACAAGGAUGAGAGUAACUGUUCAUCCCUUGACGGUAUCUAACCAGAAAGCCACGGCUAACUACGUGCCAGCAGCCGCGGUAAUACGUAGGUGGCAAGCGUUGUCCGGAUUUAUUGGGCGUAAAGCGAGCGCAGGCGGUUUCUUAAGUCUGAUGUGAAAGCCCCCGGCUCAACCGGGGAGGGUCAUUGGAAACUGGGAGACUUGAGUGCAGAAGAGGAGAGUGGAAUUCCAUGUGUAGCGGUGAAAUGCGUAGAUAUAUGGAGGAACACCAGUGGCGAAGGCGGCUCUCUGGUCUGUAACUGACGCUGAGGCUCGAAAGCGUGGGGAGCAAACAGGAUUAGAUACCCUGGUAGUCCACGCCGUAAACGAUGAGUGCUAAGUGUUGGAGGGUUUCCGCCCUUCAGUGCUGCAGCUAACGCAUUAAGCACUCCGCCUGGGGAGUACGACCGCAAGGUUGAAACUCAAAGGAAUUGACGGGGGCCCGCACAAGCGGUGGAGCAUGUGGUUUAAUUCGAAGCAACGCGAAGAACCUUACCAGGUCUUGACAUCCUUUGACCACUCUAGAGAUAGAGCUUCCCCUUCGGGGGCAAAGUGACAGGUGGUGCAUGGUUGUCGUCAGCUCGUGUCGUGAGAUGUUGGGUUAAGUCCCGCAACGAGCGCAACCCUUAUUGUUAGUUGCCAUCAUUCAGUUGGGCACUCUAGCAAGACUGCCGGUGACAAACCGGAGGAAGGUGGGGAUGACGUCAAAUCAUCAUGCCCCUUAUGACCUGGGCUACACACGUGCUACAAUGGGAAGUACAACGAGUCGCGAAGUCGCGAGGCUAAGCUAAUCUCUUAAAGCUUCUCUCAGUUCGGAUUGCAGGCUGCAACUCGCCUGCAUGAAGCCGGAAUCGCUAGUAAUCGCGGAUCAGCACGCCGCGGUGAAUACGUUCCCGGGCCUUGUACACACCGCCCGUCACACCACGAGAGUUUGUAACACCCGAAGUCGAUGAGGUAACCUUUUGGAGCCAGCCGCCUAAGGUGGGAU